This 468-nucleotide ribosomal RNA is filed under the name uncultured bacterium. RNAcentral's name for it is "partial 16S ribosomal RNA". It matches the Rfam family "Bacterial small subunit ribosomal RNA", at positions 28 to 507 of the family's 1533-position model. The record is from RNAcentral.
GAAGAACGCUGGCGGCGUGCUUAACACAUGCGAGUCGAACGGAAAGGCCCUGCUUUUGUGGGGUGCUCGAGUGGCGAACGGGUGAGUAACACGUGAGUAACCUGCCCUUGACUUUGGGAUAACUUCAGGAAACUGGGGCUAAUACCGGAUAGGAGCUCCUGCUGCAUGGUGGGGGUUGGAAAGUUUCGGCGGUUGGGGAUGGACUCGCGGCUUAUCAGCUUGUUGGUGGGGUAGUGGCUUACCAAGGCUUUGACGGGUAGCCGGCCUGAGAGGGUGACCGGCCACAUUGGGACUGAGAUACGGCCCAGACUCCUACGGGAGGCAGCAGUGGGGAAUAUUGCACAAUGGGCGGAAGCCUGAUGCAGCAACGCCGCGUGCGGGAUGACGGCCUUCGGGUUGUAAACCGCUUUCGCCUGUGACGAAGCGUGAGUGACGGUAAUGGGUAAAGAAGCACCGGCUAACUACGUG